Molecule: ribosomal RNA, 493 nt
Filed under: uncultured bacterium
Lineage: Bacteria
Description: partial 16S ribosomal RNA
Rfam family: Bacterial small subunit ribosomal RNA
Source: RNAcentral
AUGAACGCUGGCGGCGUGCCUAAUACAUGCCAGUCGAGCGAACAGACGAGGAGCUUGCUCCUCUGACGUUAGCGGCGGACGGGUGAGUAACACGUGGAUAACCUACCUAUAAGACUGGGAUAACUUCGGGAAACCGGAGCUAAUACCGGAUAAUAUAUUGAACCGCAUGGUUCAAUAGUGAAAGACGGUUUUGCUGUCACUUAUAGAUGGAUCCGCGCCGCAUUAGCUAGUUGGUAAGGUAACGGCUUACCAAGGCGACGAUGCGUAGCCGACCUGAGAGGGUGAUCGGCCACACUGGAACUGAGACACGGUCCAGACUCAUACGGGAGGCAGCAGUAGGGAAUCUUCCGCAAUGGGCGAAAGCCUGACGGAGCAACGCCGCGUGAGUGAUGAAGGUCUUCGGAUCGUAAAACUCUGUUAUUAGGGAAGAACAAAUGUGUAAGUAACUAUGCACGUCUUGACGGUACCUAAUCAGAAAGCCACGGCUAACUAC